UACGGGAGAGGAAAGUCCGGACAACGCAGGGCACCGUACUUCUCGAAAGGAAGGCAUGUUUUACAUGACAGAUAGUGCUACAGAAAUUUAGACCGCCGAUGGCGCCUCACCGAGGCAAACAGGUAAGGUUGAAAAGGUGAGGUAAGAGCUCACCAGCGGCGAAGCGAUUCGUCGGCUCUGGUAAACCUUGCGGGUUGCAAGAUCGCAUAGACUGACAUCUGAGGGUUGCCCGCCCAAGUCAGUGGGUUGAUUGCAUAGAUAAAUGAUGAAGCGCUUCGGCGAACAGAAUCCGGCUUACCAUUUUUUU
Molecule: RNase P RNA, 307 nt
Filed under: marine eukaryotic metagenome
Description: Bacterial RNase P class A
Rfam family: Bacterial RNase P class A
About the family: Ribonuclease P (RNase P) is a ubiquitous endoribonuclease, found in archaea, bacteria and eukarya as well as chloroplasts and mitochondria. Its best characterised activity is the generation of mature 5'-ends of tRNAs by cleaving the 5'-leader elements of precursor-tRNAs.
Source: RNAcentral